AGAGUUUGAUCAUGGCUCAGGACGAACGCUGGCGGCGUGCCUAAUACAUGCAAGUCGAGCGGACAGAUGGGAGCUUGCUCCCUGAUGUUAGCGGCGGACGGGUGAGUAACACGUGGGUAACCUGCCUGUAAGACUGGGAUAACUCCGGGAAACCGGGGCUAAUACUGGAUGCUUGUUUGAACCGCAUGGUUCAAACAUAAAAGGUGGCUUCGGCUACCACUUACAGAUGGACCCGCGGCGCAUUAGCUAGUUGGUGAGGUAAUGGCUCACCAAGGCAACGAUGCGUAGCCGACCUGAGAGGGUGAUCGGCCACACUGGGACUGAGACACGGCCCAGACUCCUACGGGAGGCAGCAGUAGGGAAUCUUCCGCAAUGGACGAAAGUCUGACGGAGCAACGCCGCGUGAGUGAUGAAGGUUUUCGGAUCGUAAAGCUCUGUUGUUAGGGAAGAACAAGUACCGUUCGAAUAGGGGCGGUACCUUGACGGGACCUAACCAGAAAGCCACGGCUAACUACGUGCCCAGCAACCGCGGUAAUACGUAGGUGGCAAACAGAUGUUCCAAAAUAAUUGUAC
Molecule: ribosomal RNA, 573 nt
Filed under: Bacillus subtilis
Lineage: Bacteria; Bacillati; Bacillota; Bacilli; Caryophanales; Bacillaceae
Description: bacterial SSU rRNA
Rfam family: Bacterial small subunit ribosomal RNA
Source: RNAcentral